Molecule: ribosomal RNA, 439 nt
Filed under: uncultured bacterium
Lineage: Bacteria
Description: bacterial SSU rRNA
Rfam family: Bacterial small subunit ribosomal RNA
Source: RNAcentral
AACGCGAAGAACCUUACCAGGGCUUGACAUCCCGCGCUAUCCAUGGAAACAUGGAGUUUGCGCCUUCGGGUGCAACGCGGAGACAGGUGGUGCAUGGUUGUCGUCAGCUCGUGUCGUGAGAUGUUGGGUUAAGUCCCGCAACGAGCGCAACCCCUACGUUUAGUUGCCAGCAUUAAGUUGGGCACUCUAAAGGAACUGCCGGUGACAAACCGGAGGAAGGUGGGGACGACGUCAAAUCAUCAUGCCCUUUAUGUCCUGGGCUACACACGUGCUACAAUGGCCGGUACAGAGGGCUGCGAAACCGUGAGGUGGAGCGAAUCCCAAAAAACCGGUCUCAGUUCGGAUUGCAGGCUGCGACCCGCCUGCAUGAAGUUGGAAUCGCUAGUAAUCGCGAGUCAGCAUAUCGCGGUGAAUACGUUCCCGGGUCUUGUACACACCG